GGUGUUAGUUCAUCUAGACAGCAGGACGGUGGCCAUGGAAGUCGGAAUCCGCUAAGGAGUGUGUAACAACUCACCUGCCGAAUGAACUAGCCCUGAAAAUGGAUGGCGCUUAAGCGUACUACCCAUACUUCACCGCCAGGGUAGAAACGAAGCCCUGGCGAGUAGGCAGGCGUGGGGGUCAGUGACGAAGCCUUGGGAGUGAUCCCGGGUAGAACGGCCCCUAGGGCAGAUCUUGGUGGUAGUAGCAAAUACUCAAAUGAGAACUUUGAGGACUGCAGUGGGGAAAGGUUCCAUGUGAACAGCAGUUGGACAUGGGUUAGUCGAUCCUAAGAGAUAGGGAAACUCCGUUUUAAAGUGCGCACUUGUGCGCCGUCCCUCGAAAGGGAAGCCGGUUAAUAUUCCGGCACCUGGAUUCAGAUUCUCCACGGCAACGUAACUGAACGCGGAGACGACGGCGGG
Molecule: ribosomal RNA, 459 nt
Filed under: Acidithiobacillus sp. MC6.1
Lineage: Bacteria; Pseudomonadati; Pseudomonadota; Acidithiobacillia; Acidithiobacillales; Acidithiobacillaceae
Description: partial 23S ribosomal RNA
Rfam family: Eukaryotic large subunit ribosomal RNA
Source: RNAcentral